RNAcentral lists this ribosomal RNA (253 nucleotides) under uncultured bacterium. Its description in RNAcentral is "partial 16S ribosomal RNA". It matches the Rfam family "Bacterial small subunit ribosomal RNA", at positions 524 to 776 of the family's 1533-position model. The record is from RNAcentral.
UACGUAGGGGGCAAGCGUUGUCCGGAAUCAUUGGGCGUAAAGCGCGCGUAGGCGGCCCUGUAAGUCCGUUGUGAAAGUCAAAGGCUCAACCUUUGAAAGCCGAUGGAUACUGCAGGGCUAGAGUCCGGAAGAGGCGAGUGGAAUUCCUGGUGUAGCGGUGGAAUGCGCAGAUAUCAGGAGGAACACCAAUAGCGAAGGCAGCUCGCUGGGACGUCACUGACGCUGAGACGCGAAAGCGUGGGGAGCAAACAGG